RNAcentral lists this ribosomal RNA (2122 nucleotides) under human gut metagenome. RNAcentral's name for it is "bacterial LSU rRNA". It matches the Rfam family "Bacterial large subunit ribosomal RNA", at positions 1 to 2138 of the family's 2925-position model. The record is from RNAcentral.
GAAAGUAAAUAAGGGCGCAUGGCGGAUGCCUUGGCUCUCGGAGGCGAUGAAGGACGUGAUAAGCUGCGAUAAGCUUCGGGUAGGUGCAAAUGACCUUUGAUCCGAAGAUUUCCGAAUGGGACAACCCGGCAUUCUGAAGGAAUGUCAUCCAACUUUGUUGGAGGCUAACGCAGGGAACUGAAACAUCUUAGUACCUGCAGGAAAAGAAAAUAAAUAAUGAUUCCCCUAGUAGUGGCGAGCGAACGGGGAUUAGCCCAAACCACCCAUGUUACGGCAUGUGUGGGGUUGUAGGACCACGCUCUCGCAAGACAGUUAUUGAGAAGAAACGACUGGAAAGUCGUGCCAUAGACGGUGAUAGCCCGGUAUUCUAAGGUAACCGAAGCGUAGUGGUAUCCUGAGUAGCGCGGAGCACGAGGAAUUCUGCGUGAAUCAGCCGGGACCAUCCGGUAAGGCUAAAUACUCCCGAGAGACCGAUAGCGAACCAGUACUGUGAAGGAAAGGUGAAAAGCACUUCGAAUAGAAGAGUGAAAUAGUCCCUGAAACCAUGCGCCUACAAGCGGUCGGAGCAGCUUCAGCUGUGACGGCGUGCCUUUUGCAUAAUGAACCUACGAGUUACUUUUUCCGGCAAGGUUAAGCAUCUUGAGAUGUGGAUCCGAAGCGAAAGCGAGUCUGAACAGGGCGGAUAGUCGGAAGGAGUAGACGCGAAACCAAGUGAUCUACCCUUGGGCAGGUUGAAGGUUAGGUAACACUAACUGGAGGACCGAACCGAUAAGCGUUGAAAAGCUUCCGGAUGACCUGAGGGUGGGGGUGAAAGGCUAAUCAAACUUGGAGAUAGCUCGUACUCCCCGAAAUGCAUUUAGGUGCAGCCUUGAGAGUUACUAAUGUGAGGUAGAGCGACUGAUAAGAUGCGAGGGCUUCACCGCCUAUCAAGUCUUGAUAAACUCCGAAUGCGCAUUAGUUCUAUCUCAGGAGUGAGGGCAUGGGUGCUAAGGUCCAUGUCCUAAAGGAGAAGAAUCCAGACCAUCAGCUAAGGUCCCCAAAUAAACACUAAGUUGAACUAACGAAGUCAGAUUGCUAAGACAGCUAGGAUGUUGGCUUGGAAGCAGCCAUUCAUUUAAAGAGUGCGUAACAGCUCACUAGUCGAGGAGUUUGGCGUGGAUAAUAAUCGGGCAUAAGUCUUUUCCCGCAGCUAUGGGAUCCUAAUGGAUCGGUAGGGGAGCAUUCCACUCAGCGUUGAAGGCUAAGCGUGAGCUUUACUGGAGCGUGUGGAAAAGCAAAUGUAGGUAUAAGUAACGAUAAAGGGGGUGAGAAACCCCCUCGCCGCAAGACUAAGGUUUCCUGAUCAACGCUAAUCGGAUCAGGGUUAGUCGGGUCCUAAGGCUCAGCCGAACGGUGAGNCCGAUGGCAGAACAGGUUAAUAUUCCUGUACUACCUGUAGGAGUGAUGUGGAGACGGAGGAGUGACAACGCCGCGGACUGACGGAAUAGUCCGUUAAAGGGUGUAGAUGUUGAUUAUCCCAGGCAAAUCCGGGAUAAGAGUCGAACCUGACAGUAUACCAAUUUCCCCGGAAAACGGUAAUAGUGCGUGUAAACAUACUCCCAAGAAAAUCCGCUAAACUUAAUCUUACAGGUACCCGUACCGUAAACGGACACACGUAGUCGGGUUGAAUAUACUCAGGCGCUUGAGUGAAUCACGGUUAAGGAACUAGGCAAAUUGACCCUGUAACUUCGGGAUAAAGGGUCCCUACCCGGUGACGGGAGGGCGCAGAGAAUAGGUCCAGGCAACUGUUUAACAAAAACACAGGGCUGUGCAAAAUUGAAAGAUCACGUAUACAGCCUGACACCUGCCCGGUGCUGGAAGGUUAAGAGGAGAUGUCAUCGCAAGAGAAGCAUUGAAUUGAAGCCCCAGUAAACGGCGGCCGUAACUAUAACGGUCCUAAGGUAGCGAAAUUCCUUGUCGGGUAAGUUCCGACCUGCACGAAUGGUGUAAUGAUCUGGACACUGUCUCAACCGUGAGCUCAGUGAAAUUGUAGUAUCGGUGAAGAUGCCGAUUACCCGCGAUGGGACGAAAAGACCCCGUGACCUUUACUAUAGCUUAACAUUGAAUUUGGGUAAUUGAUGUG